This 74-nucleotide transfer RNA is filed under the name Cryptomonas curvata. Its description in RNAcentral is "tRNA-Asp". It matches the Rfam family "tRNA". Rfam says of the family: Transfer RNA (tRNA) molecules are approximately 80 nucleotides in length. Their secondary structure includes four short double-helical elements and three loops (D, anti-codon, and T loops). The record is from RNAcentral. Lineage: Eukaryota; Cryptophyceae; Cryptomonadales; Cryptomonadaceae.
GAGGAUGUAAUUUAGUUGGUUAAAAUGUUAGCUUGUCACGCUAAUUAUCACGGGUUCAAGUCCCGUCAUUCUCG